ACGAACGCUGGCGGCGUGCCUAACACAUGCAAGUCGAGCGAGGAGAUCCUCGGGAUGAUCCUAGCGGCGGACGGGUGAGUAACACGUGGGCAACCUGCCUCAUAGAGAGGAAUAGCCUUCCGAAAGGGAGAUUAAUACCUCAUAACAUUGCAGUUUCGCAUGGAACAGCAAUUAAAGGAGUAAUCCGCUAUGAGAUGGGCCCGCGGCGCAUUAGCUAGUUGGUGAGGUAACGGCUCACCAAGGCGACGAUGCGUAGCCGACCUGAGAGGGUGAUCGGCCACAUUGGGACUGAGACACGGCCCAGACUCCUACGGGAGGCAGCAGUGGGGAAUAUUGCACAAUGGGGGAAACCCUGAUGCAGCCAACGCCGCGUGAGUGAUGACGGCCUUCGGGUUGUAAAGCUCUGUCUUCAGGGACGAUAAUGACGGUACCUGAGGAGGAAGCCACGGCUAACUACGUGCCAGCAGCUGC
This 471-nucleotide ribosomal RNA is filed under the name uncultured bacterium. RNAcentral's name for it is "bacterial SSU rRNA". It matches the Rfam family "Bacterial small subunit ribosomal RNA", at positions 29 to 518 of the family's 1533-position model. The record is from RNAcentral.